This 85-nucleotide transfer RNA is filed under the name marine eukaryotic metagenome. It matches the Rfam family "tRNA". From Rfam's summary of the family: Transfer RNA (tRNA) molecules are approximately 80 nucleotides in length. Their secondary structure includes four short double-helical elements and three loops (D, anti-codon, and T loops). The record is from RNAcentral.
GAGAGGUGGCCGAGUGGCUGAAGGCGCUGGUUUGCUAAAUCAGUAAACGGGUAACCGUUUCGAGGGUUCGAAUCCCUCUCUCUCC